RNAcentral lists this ribosomal RNA (451 nucleotides) under uncultured bacterium. Its description in RNAcentral is "bacterial SSU rRNA". It matches the Rfam family "Bacterial small subunit ribosomal RNA", at positions 354 to 796 of the family's 1533-position model. The record is from RNAcentral.
GUGGGGAAUUGUUCGCAAUGGGCGCAAGCCUGACGACGCAACGCCGCGUGGAGGAUGAAGAUCUUCGGGUCGUAAACUCCUUUCGAUCGAGACGAAUGGCCUCCGGGCGAACAGUCCGGAGGAGUGACGGUACCGAGAGAAGAAGCCCCGGCUAACUCCGUGCCAGCAGCCGCGGUAAUACGGGGGGGGCAAGCGUUGUUCGGAAUUACUGGGCGUAAAGGGCUCGUAGGUGGCCAACUAAGUCAGACGUGAAAUCCCUCGGCUUAACCGGGGAACUGCGUCUGAUACUGGACGGCUUGAGUUUGGGAGAGGGAUGCGGAAUUCCAGGUGUAGCGGUGAAAUGCGUAGAUAUCUGGAGGAACACCGGUGGCGAAGGCGGCAUCCUGGACCAAUACUGACACUGAGGAGCGAAAGCCAGGGGAGCAAACGGGAUUAGAAACCCCAGUAGUCC